This 371-nucleotide ribosomal RNA is filed under the name uncultured organism. RNAcentral describes it as "partial 16S ribosomal RNA". It matches the Rfam family "Bacterial small subunit ribosomal RNA", at positions 527 to 896 of the family's 1533-position model. The record is from RNAcentral.
GGAGGGUGCGAGCGUUAAUCGGAAUUACUGGGCGUAAAGCGCGCGUAGGCGGCUAGGUCAGUCGGAUGUGAAAGCCCCGGGCUUAACCUGGGAAUUGCAUUCGAAACUGCCUGGCUAGAGUAUGGGAGAGGGAAGCGGAAUUUCCGGUGUAGCGGUGAAAUGCGUAGAUAUCGGAAGGAACACCAGUGGCGAAGGCGGCUUCCUGGCCCAAAUACUGACGCUCAGGUGCGAAAGCGUGGGUAGCGAACAGGAUUAGAUACCCUGGUAGUCCACGCCGUAAACGAUGAGAACUAGAUGUCGGGAGGAUUGACCUUUGGUGUCGCAGCUAACGCAUUAAGUUCUCCGCCUGGGGGAGUACGCCGGCAACGGUA